UGCGUAGGCGGGUUUCUAAGUCAGAGGUGAAAGCCUGGAGCUCAACUCCAGAACUGCCUUUGAUACUGGAAGUCUUGAGUUCGGGAGAGGUGAGUGGAACUGCGAGUGUAGAGGUGAAAUUCGUAGAUAUUCGCAAGAACACCAGUGGCGAAGGCGGCUCACUGGGCCGAUUACUGACGCUGAGGCACGAAAGCGUGGGGAGCAAACA
This 208-nucleotide ribosomal RNA is filed under the name uncultured bacterium. RNAcentral describes it as "partial 16S ribosomal RNA". It matches the Rfam family "Bacterial small subunit ribosomal RNA", at positions 568 to 774 of the family's 1533-position model. The record is from RNAcentral.